RNAcentral lists this unclassified non-coding RNA (379 nucleotides) under plant metagenome. RNAcentral describes it as "partial contains 5.8S ribosomal RNA, internal transcribed spacer 2, and large subunit ribosomal RNA". The stretch from base 1 to 106 matches the Rfam family "5.8S ribosomal RNA", at positions 49 to 154 of the family's 154-position model. The record is from RNAcentral.
CGAAAUGCGAUAAGUAAUGUGAAUUGCAGAAUUCAGUGAAUCAUCGAAUCUUUGAACGCACCUUGCGCUCCUUGGUAUUCCUUGGAGCAUGCCUGUUUGAGUAUCAUGAAAUCUUCAAAGUAAAUCUUUUGUUAACUCAAUUGGUUUCUACUUUGGUAUUGGAGGUCUUUGCAGCUUCACACCUGCUCCUCUUUGUUCAUUAGCUGGAUCUCAGUGUUAUGCUUGGUUCCACUCGGCGUGAUAAGUUAUCUAUCGCUGAGGACACUGUAAAAGGUGGCCAAGGUAAAUGCAGAUGAACCGCUUCUAAUAGUCCAUUGACUUGGACAAUACUUUUAUGAUCUGAUCUCAAAUCAGGUAGGACUACCCGCUGAACUUAAGC